CACAAAUAUAUUUGACUUGGAGAAGUGCAUUCUAAUGUUCUAUUAAUGAAACCAAACACUUUUAAGAUCAUGUUGACCAUAAAUUUUGAUGGUGUUGCCUGUUAUAUUUUAUGUGUUACCAAUUAAAUAUUCUAACAUCCAAUUGAAGAAGUUGAAAAAGAUCACAAAAAACCAUAAAUAUAAUGCUGUUUCUCUUGAGAAGAUUAAAUUAAUGUUGUUUCCUUUCUCCUUUCUCCUUUCUCCUUGCAAGAAAAGGUAGUCAUGUGGUUAUCAUUUCUUGAACCAGGUAACAUCACGACUUAGGAGCUAUUAACCACCAAGUAUUUUGACAAAUACUUUCCCCUUUUAAAAUAUGUCAAUAUCAAAGCUAAAUUUUCAUAUUUUGCUUAGUAUGAGAAUUAAUUUAUGUAUCAAGUUUGAACAAUAUUUGAAGAUAAGUUUCACACAUAUUUGAUACAUGUCCAAAUUUUGUAUUAUUGUUUUCUUGUAAAAAAUAUAGUGUAGGUAUUGAUGAUAUGUGUGGAGUAUUUGUGGGAAACAAGAGAGUUUGUAAGUCCUCCACAAAAUAAUAGGGAAAUGUGUACUAAGAACAUCCUCAUGAGCAUAUGGCCAAAAGACCCCCACUAGAUGGUAUGUAAAGACCUCAACUAGUAUGUAGAAAGUGGAGGAUAAUAUUUCCCUGAAAUGUAAGUAGAUGAAAUAAAUGACAAGUUUGAAGUUUUAAUAUUAUGACACUCUAAAGAAAUAUUUAGUGUCUCUUCUAUUUGUGAUGAUUGUGCCCUUACAUGUGUGAUAGUUAGAGUUUCUAAAAAAUUUCAUUUCCCAACCAAAUCAGAAAGGUUAAUUUCAUAAGAGGAAUUUUUUCCAAUGCCUACUACGAAAUAUUCCUUAGUAAAGGUUAUGUAAAAAGUUGGUCUAAUUCUUUGUCUAGGGUCUUGUUAAACUACAUUACUAUGAUUGAUAACAUAUUGAAGUCCAAUUAAAGCUCAUGCACAUGCACCUACAAAAUUUGAGGAAAUGAAUAAUAUGAGAAUAUUUAACAAAAAAUCUUAUGAGGAGGUCAAAAGAGAAAUAAAAUAAAUGACAAAAAGAGAGGAAGUUAAACAUUUAUAACACGUUGGACUAGUUUAUGGUAAAUAUUGACGAAAGAUUUGAAGCUCUAACACAAAAUUUAGCAAAUCUUUGAAAGACAAAAAGAAUUUGAGGCCCAACAAAAAGUUGUUUGAAAAUAUUCUACUUUGUUUGAUUUAUUGACUAAAAAUGAGGCAUGCAAUGGUUUACCACUACAAGAUGUAAAAUGGUUGAAACACAUCAAUGGAGAGAAAGAAGUUCCAAUACUAAGAAUCCUAGUCUAACUAGUCAAACAAAAUAAAUAACUACUUGACUAAAAAUGAUAUGUAGAAAAAGAAAUAGAUAUUCAUUCUCCUUUUAUAAUUGUUCCAUUCCUCCAAAAAAAUUCAAAGAAACUCAAUAGGACUUGUGUUGUUGUAGUUUCAAACAUGUUGUAUCAACUCUAUAUCGAUGUCUUUGGAAUUAAUUUGUCGAAUGCCCAAACAUUAAAAUUUCUUGAAGGUAAUGAUAUUGAUUAAUUAUAUGAAACUUAAAUAAUUUGAAGUUGUAAAGCUGAAUGAGAAGUG
This 1637-nucleotide long non-coding RNA is filed under the name Cicer arietinum (chickpea). RNAcentral describes it as "long non-coding RNA (CARI_LNC003253)". Lineage: Eukaryota; Viridiplantae; Streptophyta; Magnoliopsida; Fabales; Fabaceae. The record is from RNAcentral.